GAUGAACGCUGGCGGCGUGCCUAAUACAUGCAAGUCGAGCGGAGCGGGGACGGGUGAGUAACACGUGGAUAACCUCCUAUAAGGCUGGGAUACCUUCGGGAAACCGGGGCUAACCCGGUUACUUAUCAAUUGAUCCUCGCUGCAUUAGCUAGUUGGUAAGGUAACGGCUUACCAAGGCAACGAUGCAUAGCCGGACUGAGAGGGUGAUCAGCCACACUGGAACUGAGACACGGUCCAGACUCCUACGGGAGGCAGCAGUAGGGAAUAUUCCGCAAUGGGCGAAAGCCUGACGGAGCAACGCCGCGUGAGUGAUGAAGGUCUUCGGAUCGUAAAACUCUUUUAUUAGGGAAGCGGUACCUAAUCAGAAAGCCACGGCUAACUACGUGCCAGCAGCCGCGGUAAUUC
This 405-nucleotide ribosomal RNA is filed under the name uncultured bacterium. RNAcentral's name for it is "partial 16S ribosomal RNA". It matches the Rfam family "Bacterial small subunit ribosomal RNA", at positions 28 to 526 of the family's 1533-position model. The record is from RNAcentral.